GGCUUCGUGGUGUAGUGGUCAGCACGCUCGACGCGUAUUCGAGAGGUCCGUGGUUCGAGUCCCGGCGAGGGCA
Molecule: transfer RNA, 73 nt
Filed under: Stegodyphus mimosarum
Lineage: Eukaryota; Metazoa; Arthropoda; Arachnida; Araneae; Eresidae
Rfam family: tRNA
About the family: Transfer RNA (tRNA) molecules are approximately 80 nucleotides in length. Their secondary structure includes four short double-helical elements and three loops (D, anti-codon, and T loops).
Source: Rfam by way of RNAcentral